This 439-nucleotide ribosomal RNA is filed under the name uncultured bacterium. RNAcentral describes it as "partial 16S ribosomal RNA". It matches the Rfam family "Bacterial small subunit ribosomal RNA", at positions 339 to 795 of the family's 1533-position model. The record is from RNAcentral.
CUACGGGAGGCACCAGUGGGGAAUCUUGGACAAUGGGCGCAAGCCUGAUCCAGCCAUGCCGCGUGAGUGAAGAAGGCCUUAGGGUCGUAAAGCUCUUUCGCCAGAGAUGAUAAUGACAGUAUCUGGUAAAGAAACCCCGGCUAACUCCGUGCCAGCAGCCGCGGUAAUACGGAGGGGGUUAGCGUUGUUCGGAAUUACUGGGGGUAAAGCGCGCGUAGGCGGAUUAGUCAGUCAGAGGUGAAAUCCCAGGGCUCAACCCUGGAACUGCCUUUGAUACUGCUAGUCUUGAGUUCGAGAGAGGUGAGUGGAAUUCCGGGUGUAGAGGUGAAAUUCGUAGAUAUUCGAAGGAACACCAGUGGCGAAGGCGGCUCACUGGCUCGAUACUGACGCUGAGGUGCGAAAGUGUGGGGAGCAAACAGGAUUAGAUACCCGGGUAGUC